GAAGGCAGGAGAAAAGAAAUUUCAGUUCCAGAAGUCCAUAUACCUUCAGACUCCCCAGUCUCCAUCCCCCAGUAGCCCACCAUCUCUGGGUCACAUUUUCCUCUUUAACUCCUUUCAGACUUUACCCUGCACCACUUUCCCCCACCCUUGCAAGUGCUAUUGAGAAUAGUUAUAAUAUUUGAUUAUUAUAGCAAAUAUUAUAUUUACUACUUAUCUUGUGCAUCUAUUGAUCAAUUCUAUGAGUUCUCUGACUUUCGUUUUUCCUGAACAACUGAAGCAUUCUGAGCUGAUGACAUGUUUAAUCCAAAGAUUUACCAAGGCAGGUGAGUAUACAUUCCUGCUCUCCAGGAGAAGUGGCUCAUGCUGUGGCUGCUUCCUAUUGACCCCCCUCACCUCUUAUAUUCUGGAAUACAAAGAGCUGCCACUCCUUUCUCCCAAAGGGAGUUACUACCUUUUCUUCUGUUCCUGAGCAAUCCAUACUGGAAUGCACAGGGGCAAUCCUAUCACCUCAUAAUAUUCUUGGGGAAUCAAGGUAAAAUAAGAUGACUUAAUUCCCCUCUCUCCCCAAGAUAAGACUGACUACCUAGGCUAAAGAGAACCUUAGGACAGUCACUGGUUCAAUCUUGGAGCCACAGUUCCCUGGGGCAGAACUUUUUUUGAGGGGGGGCCUUCUUUCCCUUGCUUCAGUAGACCUCUUGGAGACAAUAUGCCCUAAUUCUAUUCAGAGAACAAGGAGUUCUAACAGUUAUCCAUGAAGGUCAGCAAAAGCCCCAGCUUCCUUUAAUAGCCACAUCCGGCAUCUACCAUCAGGGAUUUCUUUAAACCCUUCUUAGGCCUAUUUAUAUUUCUGAUCUGUACAUUUCUUGGGAGUGUGGGGGUGGGUAGCAAUGAAUUCCAGAUUCAAUAGUUCAAGGUGUCAAAUACAGCUUUUUUCUCUUGGUUCUACAACCACUUCUUAAACUUCAGAGGUGGAGGAGAGGAGCCUUAGUUCUAACCUAAGAUUUGAUAAAGAAAAAGACCAUUAGAAUGGCAAUCAGAAGGCCUGAGCUCCAAUUCUGGCUCUGCCCCGCAACAAGCCAGAUGGCCUUGGACAAAGUAAUUCUCCAUGGGCCUUGGUUCCCUUAUUUGCAAAAGGGUGUUGGCUUAGAUGAUCUCUAAAUUCCCCUGCCUCCCCGCCCAGGAUUCUCAGGCUGGGCCUUCACUUAGCCUUUCUUCCCCAUUUCCUUUAAAGAAUGCUCCCAUUCACUCUACCUUUGUCUCUUCAGACUGAAGAUGCUUUUUUUGAAAAAUGAAAACACCUACCCUGGUUUCAUAUUCAGUUCCUUUCCCCUUGCCCAGAGUAGAUGCAGUAGCUUCACCCCAAGUAGGUGACUGACACAGUUUAAAAAGACUAUUAAGACAAAGUUUUGAAUUACAAUGACCUGUUCAAAGUCAAAGGAAGAGUACAAAGGUGGCUACUAUAGUACAGGUUCAUGCUUUCCCCCAAGACACCAAAUCUUACAGUUUCAAGGUCAGGAAAAUCGACCUCUCCCUGGAGGGAAGCAGACAGAUAGUCAGGAGGACAGCCUUACCAGCAAAAAGCUGGAUGCUAAAUAUCAGAUCCCCAGAAGUCUGGAAUACACCAAAGUCACUGAACCCACAUCUAAAGAACACAGUGAUAGUAGUGAUGGUGGUGAUAGUGGUGAUGGUGGUGGUAGAAGGGGUCUAAGGGGGAAUAGGGUAGGGAAGGUGAUUCAGAUUCUAAUUCCUAUCAAGUUUCCACCCUUUCCCUGGUAAAAUCUCAUAGUGACAGGGCUGCCUCUGAUAACAAGAGGUCAAGCAUCUAGACAUUAGUGAUUCUCUGAGUAGGUAAAGAGCAAUAUUUCUUGUGACAUCAAACCAAGUGGGUGGAUGAAAUGGAAAAUGACCUUAGGUUCCUUUUGAAAACCCUCCUCUCAUCCCAGGGAGUUUUUUCAAUUAUUGGAUGACCCUAUGCCUGCUAUCUUCUCUCACCAGAGAUUCUUCCUUCAUCUGAUUCUUUAAUUUUAAUUUUAAUUUUUUUAGGGAGGGAGGGGAAGAAGGGAGAAAAAGAGAGGAAGAAAGGAAAGAGGGAGAAAGAGGAAAAGAGAGAGACAGAUAAUCUGCCCAAAAGGGUUGUAUAAAAAACCAAGUUCUGGGUUCACCUUGAUUCAGCUGUGGGUAUGGGCAGAGGAGAAACCUAGAGCGGAAAUAAGGACUCAGAUGGUUUGGGGCUAUAUUUGCUAGCCCAUUUCAUCACAUAUAGCUGUUUCCACAGAAUCUGGAACCAGAUUAAGGUUUUCCCCUAACCAGGGCAAAUCCAAUGGAGGCAACUAAGUUCUCCUAGCUCUCCAAGUUUCAUUUCUGUAUGUGUGUGUCUGUGUGUGUGUAGUCUGCCCCCAGUAGACUGAAAACUUCUCGAGGACAAGAACUUAUAGCUGAACUUGUAUCCCUAGCAUUUAGCACAGGGCCUGAUACAAAGUAAGCACUUAAUAAAUGUUUGUUGACUAUAUCCUUUUCUUCACCUUGGACUUCCUCUUUCACUUUUCUCCCUUUCUCUCAACAGAUGUCUUCAACUCCUACUUUUACAAAGGAGACAGGCCACCCAUCAUAACGGGACCAUUGGGUGUCCUGGAUGAGCCACAUCAUCUUCUCGAGUUCCACUCCUCUUCUGUACAUACGGGACAUCUCUGAAGGUCCUUCUACAUCUCAUGUUUUCUAAUCCUCUUAGCUAGAAGCUCAUAGUCACCAAGAUCAGCCCCGAACCAUGGGCCACAUUCAUCAGGAAGUUUAUUAAGUACUCUCCCGGAGAAGAUGGGUUCCAGAUGUCAAACAUCCUCCCUGGGACUUGGGGGGAAGCACAGUUAGAAAUCAAUCUAUAUUCUAUUCUGGCAGGUGGUUUGCACAAUGAUGCUGCUGCCUGGAUGCUGAUAUCUACUGCUGAUGGAGGAGUAGUCAUGUACCUCCCAAGUCAAUGAUAUUUAGUCAACCAAUUUUUCCUCUUUGUUCAAAUCUGGGAAAGACAAUUAGAUCAAAAUGAAGGGACUAAAAACCUCCAAUGAAUCUAAUUUAAUCCCACCUAAUCCAAAUCACAUUCACUUCCAUUUUAAGCCUAAUUUCACAUUACUCCCUUUCAUGUUUGAUGUUCAGCCAAAAUAGGCUACUAUCUUUUUCAAAAACUGCCUGCAGGCACUGAGACAAAUUGUCUUUUAAGCCUGGAAUGCACACUAUUUCUUCAUUUCAUCUUUAAUGGCUUAGUUCAGAUGCAACUUUACCUGGCUCCAAUUGUUAAUUUUCUCACCUUUCUCAAAUCUUCCUUCAGUAUUCUUAUCUCUUCUUUGUCCUCCUUACUUAGUAAUAUCUUUUUGCAUACUACUUCCCACCAGAUAAUACCCAGUCAACCAAGAGGCAUCUAUUAUGUGUGAAGUAUGAUGCUAGAAUUGGGCAUAUACAUACAAACAAUGAAAUGAUUUCUAUUCUCAAGAAGCUGAUAAUCUUUUGAGAGAGACAAAACAAACACAGUUAAAUAUAAACAGAACAUAUAUAGAAUAUAUAUAUGCAAGGUAGUUAGAAAAAGUAGUCACUGGCAGUUGGGGGGAUUAGGAAAAGCUUUAUGUAGAAGGAUGUGCUUGAGCUGCACAUCUUGAAGGAAGAGGGGCGCCAUGAUAUGGAGGGAUAAAAUUAGUGCAGGAAUAGUCAAUUAGUACAAAAGCAACAACCAUCACUUUUCAUCUCUAUCUCUCCAAGAUUUAGCAAAUUUGUUAAUAAAUUUGUUGGAUUGACCUGGUUUAACCUAACCGAGUCUCAUUCUCACAUUGGGGAUAUAUGAUCUCAAAAGGUUAUCACUAGUGCAGAUGUGAGGUGAUAAAGGACUAGAUGAUGUCACAUUGAGGAUAUGUGGUCUCAGCAGCUCAGGAAAGACCCUACUCCUAAGAGACAUCAGUCUUAUCUAAAUGGAAUAGAGAAUCCUAAAGGGGGAGGAGUAUGGAGGUGUGUAUGAGAGUCUCACCCACAGAUCUGUCUCAAGAUAACGAACACACUUAAGUGAGAAGAAAAUGUCUAAGUAAUUUAAAUUCGUCCACUCUGCCAUCAACAAAAAUAACAAUCACAAAACAAUCUUCUUUAUUCAUAUAUCUCCUUUCUUCAAGCAGUCCUAAAUAUUUUUAUCUUCAAUAGGAUAUGCUAAGAUGACUGUAAAAGACCAGAGUGAAAAAAGAGAAGAACUCAGGUUACAUAGAUAGGAAUUGAGGCACUUGAUCAAGAUGAUGAAUCCAAAAAAAUACAGAUGCCAGGAGCUUUGAUUCCUUAGGCUCGCAGAAUCAAGAUCAUAGGUUUACAGGAACCAGAUCAUGAUGAGGCUAGCAUAUACUACCAUUUACUACCCUCCUAGCCUGACAUUUUCUAGAGCUGGAUGCCUACCAUCUCCUUGGAAGGCUUACUUAAUUAAGUCAAAAGCAGAAUGACUGAAGGCUAGGCCAUUCCAGGAAAAGGACUGAGAAGAGUCACCUAGAAAUGGCUUUUGCGAAUCCACAGGAUGUUAUAGUAAGAGCUCUAAUAACAGGGAAGGGCUUCCUUCAGCCACCUACACUAUGGGGAAAACAGCCCUUUUACAGCUUGCUGAAUCAUUUGGCCCCACCUUUUACUGAAAGGCAAAGAUCCCAUUCUCUCCUCCUCUUUACCCUAAACUCUCACAGCCUGCAUUCAAAACACCUAGAACUUAGACAUGCCAAGAAGAAUCAAUCAUGAAGUCCAUAGUACAGAGAACACAGAUAAGAGGAGUUGCCAGUAUGCAAUAAGUCACCUGAAGAGUCCUAAACCAGAGAUGCAAGUCAUAUGAGCCAGCUUCCCUGAUGCUAAAGCAUGUCUCCUACCAGACUCACUCUCUCACAGAGCACCAAACACUGAAGAUGGGGUGGGUGACUUUGGAAAGGAUGUGGUUACAACUGUUCGGCCUUUAAAGGUUGAAGUAUGAAGGUAUGAAAUAGAGAAAGAGAGGCCAGGCCUAAGCCAAAUUCAAAUUUCUGAUGAAGAAACUGGUUCCCUUUUUCAACUCUCAGUGAUGCAUCUGGAAAAAGACAAUAAAAAAAGCAAAGGUUUUGGUGGACUAGUCAAGAAAACUAAUCCAAUGGGGCCAAAGUCUUUCCAUGGAUAUUUGGGAUAGAGGCUUAAAUUAAAAGCAGCUCUUUCUGCUUAGUUCAUCAGAGAAGACAGAUCUAAUCUGAUUAUUAUGUCAAGCCAUCCUGAGUAGUAUUCUUAAAAGAGGAUGGGAAAUUUGAUUGCAAGACAAACCGGAAAAUUUGGUUAUAAUAUAAACUGGAGGGAAGACAAUUCAAUUCUUCUGGCCACCAUUGUUAAUAUAUCAGGAAGAAUUAGCAACCUAAAUUAGCAACAUGAGAGAAAUAGCACUCUCAGUAAAAUCAGAGGGCAAAAUUCAAUAGCUUUCUUUUUGUGUCCCUCCCUUGGCUAGAAAAUGGAAGGAGAGAGAGAUUAAGGUUCAGAGAACAACUGUCUGUCUCUAUACUUGAGAUGAUACUCUCAGUCAGGCUAUUGGAUUCUUCCUUACACAACAUAUUUGAGAAGCUGUUCUCACAAUUAAAAGGAAAACAAUAGCAAUGGAGUUAGAAAGGACAUAACAGACUAAUUUAUUAUAUUAUUAUAUCUAAUUAGUAAUUAUUAUUAUAACUAUAAAAGCCCUACACUAAUAUUUCAUCAUGACCUCCAGUUAACUUAAGGGCACUUAUGUCCUAUAAGGACAUAAAUUCUUGCAGGAUCUGCCAAACUGUAACAGCUUUGAAUUUGGUCUCAGGACAAAAAGGACCAGCCUGGUUAAGUACAGAAAAGCCAUGAGAUGACAAAAUGAAGAAAACUAUAAAACAGUCCUCAGUUUUGGGAAGUGCCUUUCUACUUUCUCAGUACAACUAUGAAAUAGUUUUAAAAAAAAAAAAAGGCAAAAGACAGGGUGUAAAAGCACAUGGUUUUUAGAUUAGUGGUAACAUGAACAAUUAAAAGACGUUACUCCAAAUAUGAGAUCCUUGUUCAAAGGGAACAAGAAAAUAUUAGAGGAACCAAACUAUAUAAAUGUUAAAGUUCUCUUCAAAAAAAGAAACCCAGAAGGCAGAAGUUAUAGCUAAAUGAAGAAUGAUGCAUAGUUUCUCUGAUGAUUUA
This is a long non-coding RNA of Antechinus flavipes (yellow-footed antechinus), 6162 nucleotides long. RefSeq lists it as uncharacterized. The record is from RefSeq and is a predicted model, not a curated record. The transcript is spliced from 3 exons. NCBI's taxonomy places the organism in Eukaryota, Metazoa, Chordata, Mammalia, Dasyuromorphia, Dasyuridae.